Molecule: ribosomal RNA, 357 nt
Filed under: uncultured bacterium
Lineage: Bacteria
Description: partial 16S ribosomal RNA
Rfam family: Bacterial small subunit ribosomal RNA
Source: RNAcentral
CCUACGGGAGGCAGCAGUGGGGAAUAUUGGUCAAUGGAGGCAACUCUGACCCAGCAACGCCGCGUGAAUGAUGAAGGUCUUCGGAUUGUAAAGUUCUUUUCUAAGGGAAGAAGAAAGUGACGGUACCUUAGGAAUAAGCCUCUGCUAACUACGUGCCAGCAGCCGCGGUACGAAGGAGGAGGCAAGCGUUAGCCGGAAGUACUGGGCGUAAAGGGGGCGGAGGUGGUUUGACAAGGUCGUAGCGUAAUUCCGGAGCUCAACUUCAGAACUACUACCAAAACUGUUGGACUCGAGUGCAGGAGGGGCAAGUGGAAUUUGUGGUGUAGGGGUGGAAUGCGUAGAUAUUAAGAAGAACAC